Long non-coding RNA from Salvelinus namaycush (lake trout), 252 nucleotides. RefSeq lists it as uncharacterized. The record is from RefSeq and is a predicted model, not a curated record. The transcript is spliced from 3 exons. NCBI's taxonomy places the organism in Eukaryota, Metazoa, Chordata, Actinopteri, Salmoniformes, Salmonidae.
UGGCUGUUGAAGUCAACUUCCUUGUGACGCCAGAGGAGAAUUGGGACCAUCUUGUGAGAUCACUGUUGAUCUCUGUGAAGUCUCUGGUUAAUGAGCAGUUGGAAAUUGUCCACAAACCCAAAACCCUAUCCUCCAAAAGAAUAAAAAGGUUGAGUGCAGGAGUGCUUUAUAUCCUCUGGCUGCAUAUUGGGGGUGGGCCAGAAGGGGUGAAGAUUCACAGGACCCUGCACCCGGCCCUGCAGGAGCUGUUGG